UCAGACGGCCGGAUGGCCGCUCUCCGCCGCGGCGACGCGGACGGGGGGAGGAAAGUCCGGGCUCCAGGGAAGCACGGUGCCGGGUAACGCCCGGCGGGGGCGACCCCAGGGACAGUGCCACAGAAAGCAAACCGCCAGUGCCCGCCGGAGACGGCGGCCGCGGGCAAGGGUGAAAGGGUGCGGCAAGAGCGCACCGCGCCCCCGGCGACGGGGGCGGCAGGGCAAACCCCACCGGGAGCAAGGCCGUAUAGGGGCGGCAUGCCAGGCCGGUGACGGUCCGGCGAGCGGUGCUUUCCCCGCCGCCGCCCGGGUAGGCCGCGCGAGGCGUCCGGCAACGGACGUCCCAGAUGAAUGGCCAUCCACGGCCGCCCCGGAAGGGGCGGCCGGGACAGAACCCGGCUUACAGGCCGUCUGGCAUC
Molecule: RNase P RNA, 419 nt
Filed under: Rhodospirillaceae bacterium
Lineage: Bacteria; Pseudomonadati; Pseudomonadota; Alphaproteobacteria; Rhodospirillales; Rhodospirillaceae
Description: RNase P RNA component class A
Rfam family: Bacterial RNase P class A
About the family: Ribonuclease P (RNase P) is a ubiquitous endoribonuclease, found in archaea, bacteria and eukarya as well as chloroplasts and mitochondria. Its best characterised activity is the generation of mature 5'-ends of tRNAs by cleaving the 5'-leader elements of precursor-tRNAs.
Source: RNAcentral